Molecule: ribosomal RNA, 907 nt
Filed under: uncultured bacterium
Lineage: Bacteria
Description: bacterial SSU rRNA
Rfam family: Bacterial small subunit ribosomal RNA
Source: RNAcentral
AGAGUUUGAUCCUGGCUCAGGAUGAACGCUAGCGGCAGGCUUAAUACAUGCAAGUCGAACGGUAAGGUCUCUUCGGAGAUACACGAGUGGCGCACGGGUGCGUAACGCGUAUGCAACCUACCUUUAACUGGGAAAUAGCCCCGAGAAAUCGGGAUUAAUGUCCCAUAUUAUUCUGAGAAUGCAUAUUCUUGGAAUGAAAGCUCCGGCGGUUAUUGAUGGGCAUGCGUGACAUUAGCUAGUUGGUGAGGUAACGGCUCACCAAGGCUACGAUGUCUAGGGGUCCUGAGAGGGUUAACCCCCACACUGGUACUGAGACACGGACCAGACUCCUACGGGAGGCAGCAGUAAGGAAUAUUGGGCAAUGGACGCAAGUCUGACCCAGCCAUGCCGCGUGAAGGAUGAAUGUCCUAUGGAUUGUAAACUUCUUUUAUGCAGGAAAAACAUCCCGGUCGUGAACCGGGACUGAUGGUACUGUAUGAAUAAGCAUCGGCUAACUCCGUGCCAGCAGCCGCGGUAAUACGGAGGAUGCAAGCGUUAUCCGGAUUCAUUGGGUUUAAAGGGUGCGCAGGCGGAAUGAUAAGUCAGUGGUGAAAUCUCCCGGCUCAACCGGGAAACUGCCAUUGAUACUGUCGUUCUUGAGUACAGUUGAAGUGGGCGGAAUGUGUCAUGUAGCGGUGAAAUGCUUAGAUAUGACACAGAACACCGAUAGCGAAGGCAGCUCACUAAGCUGUAACUGACGCUCAUGCACGAAAGCGUGGGGAUCAAACAGGAUUAGAUACCCUGGUAGUCCACGCUGUAAACGAUGAUCACUCGUUGUUGGCGAUAUACUGUCAGCGACUGAGCGAAAGCAUUAAGUGAUCCACCUGGGGAGUACGGCGGCAACGUUGAAACUCAAAGGAAUUGACGG